GACGAACGCUGGCGGCGUGCUUAACACAUGCAAGUCGAACGGAAAGGCCCUGCUUUUGUGGGGUGCUCGAGUGGCGAACGGGUGAGUAACACGUGAGUAACCUGCCCUUGACUUUGGGAUAACUUCAGGAAACUGGGACUAAUACCGGAUAGGAGCUCCUGCUGCAUGGUGGGGGUUGGAAAGUUUCGGCGGUUGGGGAUGGACUCGCGGCUUAUCAGCUUGUUGGUGGGGUAGUGGCUUACCAAGGCUUUGACGGGUAGCCGGCCUGAGAGGGUGACCGGCCACAUUGGGACUGAGAUACGGCCCAGACUCCUACGGGAGGCAGCAGUGGGGAAUAUUGCACAAUGGGCGGAAGCCUGAUGCAACAACGCCGCGUGCGGGAUGACGGCCUUCGGGUUGUAAACCGCUUUCGCCUGUGACGAAGCGUGAGUGACGGUAAUGGGUAAAGAAGCACCGGCUAACUACGUG
This 468-nucleotide ribosomal RNA is filed under the name uncultured bacterium. Its description in RNAcentral is "partial 16S ribosomal RNA". It matches the Rfam family "Bacterial small subunit ribosomal RNA", at positions 28 to 507 of the family's 1533-position model. The record is from RNAcentral.